CAUGGAGGGUGAGAAUCCCGUUCGGUUGACCUUAUGACGCUUUACGAUACGCUCUCAAAGAGUCGAGUUGUUUGGGAUUGCAGCUCAAAAUGGGAGGUAAAUUUCUCCUAAGGCUAAAUAUCGGCGAGAGACCGAUAGCGAACAAGUACCGUGAGGGAAAGAUGAAAAGAACUUUGAAAAGAGAGUAAAAUAGUACGUGAAAUUGUUGAAAGGGAAACGAUUGAAGUCAGUCGUACCGACGGAAAAUCAGCUCUUCGAGUGUGAACUUGUGGGCGUACGUGAGCUUUAACCGGCCUCGUUGUUUGCGAUGUUUGUGCUUUUUGGGUGUACUUUUUCGUAUGGUUGGCCAACGUCAGUCUCGGUUAUCAUAAAAUGAUUGGAGGAAUGUAGCUUCGAUCUUGUAUUGAAGUGUUAUAGCCUCUAGUAGAUGUGGUGAACGAAACUGAGGAUUGCAACGAAUACCCUUCGGGCUAUCCGUCUGACCUCUGAAAGUUGCUUGGGUGCCGAAAGCUUGCUUACGGUCAUCCAUGACGACGGUCAAAAGGUUAGAACGUGAUUAUAUUCGUUAAGGAUGUUGACGUAAUGG
RNAcentral lists this ribosomal RNA (586 nucleotides) under uncultured Glomeromycotina. Its description in RNAcentral is "LSU rRNA". It matches the Rfam family "Eukaryotic large subunit ribosomal RNA", at positions 204 to 637 of the family's 3401-position model. Lineage: Eukaryota; Fungi; Glomeromycota. The record is from RNAcentral.